UAAAACGUAGGUACCGAGCGUUAUCCGGAUUUACUGGGCGUAAAGCGCGUUCAGGCGGUUUGGCAAGUCGGGCAUGAAAUCUCUCGGCUCAACCGGGAGAGGUUGUCCGAUACUGCUGGACUUGAGGGCAGUAGAGGGUGGUGGAAUUCCGGGUGUAGUGGUGAAAUGCGUAGAUAUCCGGAGGAACACCAGUGGCGAAAGCGGCCACCUGGACUGUACCUGACGCUGACACGCGAAAGCUAGGGGAGCGAACGGGAUUAGAAACCCCGGUAGUCCUAGCUAUAAACGAUGUUGACUAGGUGUCGACGGUCUAAACCCCGCCGGUGCCGGAGCAAACGCAUUAAGUCAACCGCCUGGGGACUACGGCCGCAAGGUUA
RNAcentral lists this ribosomal RNA (377 nucleotides) under uncultured bacterium. RNAcentral describes it as "bacterial SSU rRNA". It matches the Rfam family "Bacterial small subunit ribosomal RNA", at positions 521 to 896 of the family's 1533-position model. The record is from RNAcentral.